GUUGUAUGGUUAAGUGACUAAGCGUACACGGUGGAUGCCUUGGCAGUCAGAGGCGAUGAAAGACGUAGUAACUUGCGAUAAGCCCAGAUUAGGUAGUAACAACCAUUUGAGUCUGGGAUUUCUGAAUGGGGAAACCCACUUACAUAAGUAAGUAUCAUUAACUGAAUACAUAGGUUAAUGAGGCGAACCGGGGGAACUGAAACAUCUAAGUACCCCGAGGAAAAGAAAUCAACCGAGAUUCCGAAAGUAGCGGCGAGCGAAAUUGGACUAGCCCUUAAGCUUUACACGCGUUAGACGAACGGUCUGGAAAGUCCGACGAUACAGGGUGAUAGUCCCGUAGUUGACGACGUGUGUUCAGUGAAAUCGAGUAGGGCGGGACACGUGAUAUCCUGUCUGAAUAUGGGGGGACCAUCCUCCAAGGCUAAAUACUACUGACUGACCGAUAGUGAACCAGUACCGUGAGGGAAAGGCGAAAAGAACCCCUGUGAGGGGAGUGAAAUAGAACCUGAAACCGUGUACGUACAAGCAGUAGGAGCAGGCUUGUCCUGUGACUGCGUACCUUUUGUAUAAUGGGUCAGCGACUUAUAUUCAGUGGCAAGGUUAACCAUCUAGGGGAGCCGUAGGGAAACCGAGUCUUAACUGGGCGUUCAGUCUCUGGAUAUAGACCCGAAACCAGGUGAUCUAGCCAUGGGCAGGUUGAAGGUUGAGUAACAUCAACUGGAGGACCGAACCGACUAAUGUUGAAAAAUUAGCGGAUGACUUGUGGCUAGGGGUGAAAGGCCAAUCAAACCUGGAGAUAGCUGGUUCUCCCCGAAAGCUAUUUAGGUAGCGCCUCGGACGAAUACUACUGGGGGUAGAGCACUGUUAAGGCUAGGGGGUCAUCCCGACUUACCAACCCUUUGCAAACUCCGAAUACCAGUAAGUACUAUCCGGGAGACACACGGCGGGUGCUAACGUCCGUCGUGGAGAGGGAAACAACCCAGACCGCCAGCUAAGGUCCCAAAUUACUACUAAGUGGGAAACGAUGUGGGAAGGCUCAGACAGCCAGGAUGUUGGCUUAGAAGCAGCCAUCAUUUAAAGAAAGCGUAAUAGCUCACUGGUCGAGUCGGCCUGCGCGGAAGAUGUAACGGGGCUAAGUAGUAAACCGAAGCUGCGGCAAUAUACUUUUGUAUAUUGGGUAGGGGAGCGUUCUGUAAGCGGUUGAAGGUGUGUGGUAACGCAUGCUGGACGUAUCAGAAGUGCGAAUGCUGACAUGAGUAACGAUAAAGGGGGUGAAAAACCUCCUCGCCGGAAGACCAAGGGUUCCUGUCCAACGUUAAUCGGGGCAGGGUAAGUCGACCCCUAAGGCGAGGCCGAAAGGCGUAGUCGAUGGGAAACGGGUUAAUAUUCCCGUACUUCUUACAAUUGCGAUGGGGGGACGGAGAAGGCUAGGUGGGCCUGGCGACGGUUGUCCAGGUUCAAGUGCGUAGGCUUAAGAGUUAGGUAAAUCCGGCUCUUUCUAAGGCUGAGACACGACGUCGAGCAUCUACGGAUGUGAAGUCAUUGAUGCCAUGCUUCCAGGAAAAGCCUCUAAGCUUCAGAUUGUAAGGAAUCGUACCCCAAACCGACACAGGUGGUCGGGUAGAGAAUACCAAGGCGCUUGAGAGAACUCGGGUGAAGGAACUAGGCAAAAUGGUACCGUAACUUCGGGAGAAGGUACGCUCUCGACGGUGAAGUCCCUUGCGGAUGGAGCUAUUGAGAGUCGCAGAUACCAGGUGGCUGCAACUGUUUAUUAAAAACACAGCACUGUGCAAAAUCGUAAGAUGACGUAUACGGUGUGACGCCUGCCCGGUGCCGGAAGGUUAAUUGAUGGGGUUAGACUUCGGUCGAAGCUCUUGAUCGAAGCCCCGGUAAACGGCGGCCGUAACUAUAACGGUCCUAAGGUAGCGAAAUUCCUUGUCGGGUAAGUUCCGACCUGCACGAAUGGCGUAAUGAUGGCCACGCUGUCUCCACCCGAGACUCAGUGAAAUUGAAAUCGCUGUGAAGAUGCAGUGUACCCGCGGCUAGACGGAAAGACCCCGUGAACCUUUACUACAGCUUGGCACUGAACAUUGACCCUACAUGUGUAGGAUAGGUGGGAGGCUUUGAAGCACGUACGCCAGUAUGUGUGGAGCCGUCCUUGAAAUACCACCCUUGUAGUGUUGAUGUUCUAACGUCGACCCCUUAUCGGGGUUGCGGACAGUGCCUGGUGGGUAGUUUGACUGGGGCGGUCUCCUCCCAAAGAGUAACGGAGGAGCACGAAGGUGGGCUAAUCACGGUUGGACAUCGUGAGGUUAGUGCAAUGGCAUAAGCCCGCUUGACUGCGAGAAUGACAAUUCGAGCAGGUGCGAAAGCAGGUCAUAGUGAUCCGGUGGUUCUGAAUGGAAGGGCCAUCGCUCAACGGAUAAAAGGUACUCCGGGGAUAACAGGCUGAUACCGCCCAAGAGUUCAUAUCGACGGCGGUGUUUGGCACCUCGAUGUCGGCUCAUCACAUCCUGGGGCUGAAGUCGGUCCCAAGGGUAUGGCUGUUCGCCAUUUAAAGUGGUACGCGAGCUGGGUUUAGAACGUCGUGAGACAGUUCGGUCCCUAUCUGCCGUGGGCGUUGGAAGAUUGAAGGGGGCUGCUCCUAGUACGAGAGGACCGGAGUGGACGAACCUCUGGUGUUCGGGUUGUGUCGCCAGACGCAUUGCCCGGUAGCUAAGUUCGGAAUCGAUAACCGCUGAAAGCAUCUAAGCGGGAAGCGAGCCCUGAGAUGAGUCUUCCCUGAUACUUUAAGUAUCCUAAAGGGUUGUCGGAGACUACGACGUUGAUAGGUCAGGUGUGUAAGUGCUGUGAGGCAUUGAGCUAACUGAUACUAAUUGCCCGUGAGGCUUAACCAUACAACACCCAAGGGGUUU
This 2915-nucleotide ribosomal RNA is filed under the name Vibrio parahaemolyticus. Its description in RNAcentral is "23S ribosomal RNA". It matches the Rfam family "Bacterial large subunit ribosomal RNA". Lineage: Bacteria; Pseudomonadati; Pseudomonadota; Gammaproteobacteria; Vibrionales; Vibrionaceae. The record is from RNAcentral.